UUUUGCAUUUUGCACACCUCUCAUAAGCUUUGAACAGUUGAACUGGAUUGCCUUCCACAUAAUUUUUAAUUAAAUAUAUGGAUGUCGGCUUCCGUUACUCCAGAAUUUAUUUCGUAAGAUUUAGGGUGUGUGAAAUCUGCCUUAUGUCAAAUCUACUUUCAUUCUCUGGACUGCAGGACGGCAUGUCGCAUGAGAUGGAUGUGUGAGAUAAAUUUUGAUGGGCGAGCCUUUCAGAUCUGUAUUGAUCGUUUUGCAGCUCAAAUUGCUGCCACGUUUACUGCUCUAAGGAGGUACUCACGAAUAUACUUCAAAUUUAAUCGAUAUUUAAUGCAAUACAGUGCGCGGGAAUGAUUAUCCUUCACUCCCUGCAAAUUUGCAAUGAUAUUGCGGCAAAAACCCAAAAAAGAUACCCAAAAUAUAUUUGAAAAUUUAUACAAGGUAUGUUUGAUAUUUUAUCCUUCUUCCCAAAAAGCUAUUUAGGCCAUUUUUGCAAUCAUAACUCGCACAUUUCUAAGGUGUAAAUCGCAGAGGCUCAUUUAAUGGAAAGGUUAAGUUGCUCUCAUCCCUCAAUGCUUAUAAAUGCACGUAUUCGGUUUCCACCGUACAACGUCCGCUCUGGUCUUCAUUUUUCAGUGGAGUGUUUUGAAUUUGGGUUUUCCUUUUCUGAUUCAGGGGUUUGGGAUUUUAGGGAAUUGUGUUCUUUUCCUAUCAUCAACUAUGGCAAAUGUAGGUGGAAUCAUAAAUUACAAGAAUAGGUUGCAGGAAUAUACUAUGAAAAAACCUCUUCCAUUGCCUGUUUAUGAGACUCUGACUGAGGGUUUAGACCAUUUUCCUCGAUUUAGGUCUUUUGUGACUGUGAACGGGGUCAGAUAUCAAUCCACUUCUGGUCACUCUCGCAAGAAAGAAGCAGAAUAGUCUGCUGCCAAGGCUGCUGUAGAUGAUUUCACCAGAAAGGUUUCCGAUUACCAAUUUGAAGAGACGAUAGGGAAAGGACUUCUUUCUGAGCUUCUUGUAAGGGUGGGUAUGAGCCAGGUCCCUCCCAUGUUUUCCACUACCAUGACAGGAGCUGCUCAUUCUCCAACCUUUACUUCAAUGGUGGAGAUAAAUGGGGUCUCUUACGUUGGAGGUAAAACAAAGAGUAAGAGGGAAGCGGAAGCAAAGGCUGCCUUUGAAGCAUUUCAAGCAAUUAAAACAGAACUUGGUGAAUCUACCUCCGAGCCUCAAAUUCGUGUGCAAAGUGAUAGGAUUAAUGCGUUGAAACAACCUAAUCAAUAUAGCAAGGAUGCGAGGUCUGAAACAAAAGCAACUAUGUUGCAUGGGUACUCAUACCCAACCCCCUAGAACGCGUACCGGAGACUGGUACGCGUCUCCCGUACCGGAGACCUGUCAGGAGACGUUUCUACACAUAGGAGACUCCAUGUCAACGAACCCUCCCGUCUCCACCCUAAAUAACAUGUGCAAAAGUCAAAAAGUUUGACACGAUGCAUGGGCAGAAGCAAAAACCACCGACGUGAGCCCCAUUUUCAGACAUUUGUAUGACAUUUUGAAUCGACUCAUUUCACAUUUGUGUACUUAAACUUCAAAGUGAAUGUUAAUUCUUGUUUUGAAAGUUCAAUGCCUUUAUAUUUUCAGAUUUUCUAUAAAUUAUUAAAUUAUAUUUAAAAAAAAUUGAUGUCUCCAAAUACCCCCGUCUCCUUUUUUGA
Molecule: long non-coding RNA, 1703 nt
Organism: Cryptomeria japonica (Japanese cedar)
Lineage: Eukaryota; Viridiplantae; Streptophyta; Pinopsida; Cupressales; Cupressaceae
Exons: 3
Source: RefSeq, a predicted model, not a curated record